RNAcentral lists this long non-coding RNA (780 nucleotides) under Triticum aestivum (bread wheat). RNAcentral describes it as "long non-coding RNA (TAES_LNC002328)". Lineage: Eukaryota; Viridiplantae; Streptophyta; Magnoliopsida; Poales; Poaceae. The record is from RNAcentral.
GAAGAUGGAUAAUGUCCUUUCAUUGGCGACAAAUUUAUCAAAGUUGCUCAGGUUUAGGGAUAUGAAAUAAAUGUAUUGAUGUUUUGGGGUGCUUCUCUUUUGAUUUCCAUGAUACAGUGCUAUGAGUGUAAUUUAGUCAUAGUAUCUAUCAACUUCUCUCUCAUCUCAAAAUACAUUUUUUCUUCGAAAAGAGCUCAAAAUACAAAGACUGUCUUUUCCUUGUUUAAACUUUACUGGUAUUGUCGUGUGUGUAUUAGCUCUGAAGUGUGUUCUCAAACAAUAUGUAAUAUUUUUGUGUUGCAGCCAUUUUUGGAGAGUUUAUCUAUAUGCCCAAAGCAUGUACUUCACAACCCACUUGGAGCUCCAGAGAGGUAUGUGUUAUUUUCUUGUACUAUUUUUGGCUGCCCGUUGUUUUGAAUCUUAUGUUUCGAAAACUCAACUAGAAAACAAUGAGUUGGGGCGCGGCAGGAAGGGGAGCAUCACCAGGGAGAAGAAAAUGUAUUGUGGGAAAAAGGACAGAGAUCCCCGAGCUUUUGCGAGAGGGGAUGGAGCGGCGGCUGCGUCGACCCGACCAGUUGCAAGUGGAUGGAGCGGUGGCUGCACGGACAUGCUCCUGGAGGUGCCGGUAUGCAGCCUCAUUUUGAGCCUGGGAGGAUCCUCGCCCUGUCCUGGCCUCAAGGGUGCUCAUCUACUUGUUAUCGUGCUCUGCAGUUAGAACGAUGCGCUAAUGCAGGCUUGAUUUUUUACUUAUUCCUUUUUUAUGCAUAUCCCUGAAUUUUG